GUCUGCGGCCACACCACCCUGAAUGUGCCGAUCUCAUCUGAUCUCAGAAGCUAAGCAGGGUCUGGCCUGGUUAGUACUUGGAUGGGAGAAUGAAUUAUUUAUCCUUUCCAAGAAGUCUCUGUUU
Ochotona princeps (American pika) is the source of this 124-nucleotide ribosomal RNA. NCBI's taxonomy places the organism in Eukaryota, Metazoa, Chordata, Mammalia, Lagomorpha, Ochotonidae. The record is from Ensembl.